Molecule: small RNA, 380 nt
Filed under: Pongo abelii (Sumatran orangutan)
Lineage: Eukaryota; Metazoa; Chordata; Mammalia; Primates; Hominidae
Description: processed transcript
Source: RNAcentral
CGGGACGCAAGGAUUCAGGGAGCUUCCUUUCCUGGCUGCGAGGGAUCUUCCUGAGCAGAGCUCUCCGAGUUCCCCGGCUCGCGUGGGCCGGCGAAGGGCAGAUCCAUUGUCAUGACUUCUGAGCUGUUUGAAAGAGAAUGUUCCCAGAAUCAAGAUGUGCCAGUAAACAUGAAUUGGUUGGAUUUGACUUCUCAAUGAUACACAAUGAUUCUCUACCUUGACUAACACCACAGAGGAUGCAAUAGAAACUUCUGAGAUUUAGAUGAUAAAUAUAAAAAGUUGAAGCUUAGGGGAGCCCAAGCCAGGAAGCUGGAGACACUGUGGCAGAAAGUGAAAGAGGAAGAAGCCAUUCGACGUCUGUUUUUAAAAAUGUGUUCUGU